Long non-coding RNA from Bombus terrestris (buff-tailed bumblebee), 1034 nucleotides. RefSeq lists it as uncharacterized. The record is from RefSeq and is a predicted model, not a curated record. The transcript is spliced from 3 exons. NCBI's taxonomy places the organism in Eukaryota, Metazoa, Arthropoda, Insecta, Hymenoptera, Apidae.
AUUCUCACUAUUAGAGACGAGUAGAGAAACAGAGAGAACUAAAGAAUAUUGUCAGAACAUUACAAAAGUUUACUAGUGCGCAGCGCUCACUAUUUUAUUACUUGUCAAGUUGUCACUCACUAAGGGACAUGCGAUAUAUCAGUGUGAAAUAAGCUUUGUGUGAAAUGUAUUGUUCUGUAUUCUCUAUUAUUGUACGAGUGUUUUAUACAAGAGAAAGUUUACUGCUUAGUUCUAACUCGGGAUAAUAAUGAACAUGUUUCUGCAUCAUCUUCAGCAAUAGAAAAAAUUCCCUAACCUGAAUAUUUUGCCAUAAAAUGUAAUGACUCUCCUAUAAAUAUCGAAGAAAUACUUGAUAAGUAUUGGUCCCCAUAUAAUAUAUCAAAGAGUACAAAUCCAAGAAAGAAGUAACAAUCCAAAACUGUGUAUGAGAUAAUUUUCUUUGUCCAUAACAAUAAGAACACUCCACAACAUACAAAAAAGAGUUUAGCAAAUCUCAAAAGAAAACUGCUCUCAACAACAAAAGAAAAUAAGACAUUAAAACAAUGAGUUGCAUGCUUGAAAGAAAGUAGAGUUUUUAAAGGAUAUAGUGAAAAACCUAAAACAAGAAAAUCUUUUACCCAAUUCUGCAUGCUAUUAUUUUUCCAUGCAUGAAUAUGCUUCAUUACAAUUGUUCAACUGCAUGUAGAGAAACAGAAACAAUAGUAACUACAGCUGACUUAGAACUAUGUGGAUUUCUAAGAGAAGAGUGCAAAUGAAAUUGUAUUAAAAUUAAGUUAGCUAUGUAUAUAUAAAUUUUAUUAUUUCAUUACAUAUAUAUUAUUUAUUUAUUAUUAAUAUAAAUAUUACUAUUUUUUUAAUUUGCCUGCGAACUACAUGUAAAUUAAUUGCUCACAUCAGUGAUGUAUUAAUUCUAUUUCAUUGUACAUAAAAUAUUUCUACAUUGCUAUAUUUAAUUCUACAUUGUACUUCAUAUAUUAGAAUAACAUUGUAUUGAUCCUGUUCAAUUGUAUGUAAAAUAUAUCAAUUCUAUUCUA